Molecule: ribosomal RNA, 371 nt
Filed under: uncultured organism
Description: partial 16S ribosomal RNA
Rfam family: Bacterial small subunit ribosomal RNA
Source: RNAcentral
GUAGGUGGCAAGCGUUGUCCGGAAUUAUUGGGCGUAAAGCGCGCGCAGGCGGUUCUUUAAGUCUGAUGUGAAAGCCCACGGCUCAACCGUGGAGGGUCAUUGGAAACUGGAGAACUUGAGUACAGAAGAGGAAAGCGGAAUUCCACGUGUAGCGGUGAAAUGCGUAGAGAUGUGGAGGAACACCAGUGGCGAAGGCGGCUUUCUGGUCUGUAACUGACGCUGAGGCGCGAAAGCGUGGGGGAGCAAACAGGAUUAGAUACCCUGGUAGUCCACGCCGUAAACGAUGAGUGCUAAGUGUUAGGGGGUUUCCGCCCCUUAGUGCUGCAGCUAACGCACUAAGCACUCCGCCUGGGAGUACGGCCGCAAGGCUG